Molecule: ribosomal RNA, 510 nt
Filed under: uncultured bacterium
Lineage: Bacteria
Description: bacterial SSU rRNA
Rfam family: Bacterial small subunit ribosomal RNA
Source: RNAcentral
UGGCGGCGUGCCUAAUACAUGCAAGUCGAACGCACUCUCGUUUAGAUUGAAGGAGCUUGCUCCUGAUUGAUAACAUUUGAGUGAGUGGCAGACGGGUGAGUAACACGUGGGUAACCUGCCCUAAAGUGGGGGAUAACAUUUGGAAACAGAUGCUAAUACCGCAUAAAACCUAACACCGCAUGGUGUAGGGUUGAAAGAUGGUUUCGGCUAUCACUUUAGGAUGGACCCGCGGUGCAUUAGUUAGUUGGUGAGGUAAAGGCUCACCAAGACCGUGAUGCAUAGCCGACCUGAGAGGGUAAUCGGCCACACUGGGACUGAGACACGGCCCAGACUCCUACGGGAGGCAGCAGUAGGGAAUCUUCCACAAUGGACGAAAGUCUGAUGGAGCAACGCCGCGUGAGUGAAGAAGGUUUUCGGAUCGUAAAACUCUGUUGUUGGAGAAGAAUGUAUCUGAUAGUAACUGAUCAGGUAGUGACGGUAUCCAACCAGAAAGCCACGGCUAACUACGUG